UACGUAGGGCGCGAGCGUUGUCCGGAAUUAUUGGGCGUAAAGAGCUCGUAGGCGGUCUGUCGCGUCUGCUGUGAAAACUCAGGGCUUAACCCUGAGCUUGCAGUGGGUACGGGCAGACUAGAGUGCGGUAGGGGAGACUGGAAUUCCUGGUGUAGCGGUGAAAUGCGCAGAUAUCAGGAGGAACACCGGUGGCGAAGGCGGGUCUCUGGGCCGAUACUGACGCUGAGGCGCGAAAGCGUGGGGAGCAAACAGG
RNAcentral lists this ribosomal RNA (253 nucleotides) under uncultured bacterium. RNAcentral describes it as "partial 16S ribosomal RNA". It matches the Rfam family "Bacterial small subunit ribosomal RNA", at positions 524 to 776 of the family's 1533-position model. The record is from RNAcentral.